GACGUAGGGCGCGAGCGUUGUCCGGAUUUAUUGGGCGUAAAGAGCUCGUAGGCGGCUCGUUGCGUCGGCUGUGAAAACCCGCAGCUCAACUGUGGGCUUGCAGCUGAUACGGGCGGGCUGGAGUUCGGUAGGGGAGACUGGAAUUCCUGGUGUAGCGGUGAAAUGCGCAGAUAUCAGGAGGAACACCCGUGGCGAAAGCGGCUCUCUGGGACGGUACUGACGCUGAGACGCGAAAGCGUGGGGAGCAAACAGG
Molecule: ribosomal RNA, 253 nt
Filed under: uncultured bacterium
Lineage: Bacteria
Description: partial 16S ribosomal RNA
Rfam family: Bacterial small subunit ribosomal RNA
Source: RNAcentral